GCUGAUGCUGCUGGUUCCUGAGUCACAGGUUUCUUGAGAGACUAAACAUACAAAUGGACAAUGGCCAGACCAUGUGUAACAAUAAAACUCCGAUGGACAAUCUCUGGCAGCCAGCCCAGAACGAUCAGGACUUGUUCAAUGACUGCGAGCUAGCUUCCCCCUUUUUUAACCCUCUUACCUGCUUCCAACUCAAGACUAACAACAGAAUGCCAAAGACACUGCUCCCCAAAGCAAUUACGUAAGAUGCCUCACUGCUUGUUAGUGCACCUCCUGCUUCAAUGUGCCAACAACCUCCAAUCAGAAGAUAGCAGAAGCCUUCUUUUCCCCGCUUAUAAAGCUUUUUUACUCCCCUGCCUGUCUUUGAGACUUUGCUAAAUUCCAAGGAUGGUGGCUGAUCCUCUUGCUUU
Molecule: long non-coding RNA, 407 nt
Filed under: Homo sapiens (human)
Lineage: Eukaryota; Metazoa; Chordata; Mammalia; Primates; Hominidae
Description: non-protein coding lnc-FBXO38-2:2
Source: RNAcentral